Molecule: ribosomal RNA, 279 nt
Filed under: uncultured bacterium
Lineage: Bacteria
Description: partial 16S ribosomal RNA
Rfam family: Bacterial small subunit ribosomal RNA
Source: RNAcentral
GAGCACGUAGGUGGGUUUGUAAGUCAGAGGUGAAAGCCUGGAGCUCAACUCCAGAACUGCCUUUGAGACUGCAUCGCUUGAAUCCAGGAGAGGUGAGUGGAAUUCCGAGUGUAGAGGUGAAAUUCGUAGAUAUUCGGAAGAACACCAGUGGCGAAGGCGGCUCACUGGACUGGUAUUGACGCUGAGGUGCGAAAGCGUGGGGAGCAAACAGGAUUAGACACCCUGGUAGUCCACGCCGUAAACGAUGAUAACUAGCUGUCCGGGCACUAAGUAGAGGGG